This 379-nucleotide ribosomal RNA is filed under the name uncultured bacterium. RNAcentral describes it as "bacterial SSU rRNA". It matches the Rfam family "Bacterial small subunit ribosomal RNA", at positions 28 to 407 of the family's 1533-position model. The record is from RNAcentral.
GACGAACGCUGGCGGCGUGCUUAACACAUGCAAGUCGAACGGUGAACCUUGCUUCGGUGGGGGAUCAGUGGCGAACGGGUGAUUAACACGUGGGCAACCUGCCCUCAGCUCUGGGAUAACUCCAAGAAAUUGGGGCUAAUACUAGAUAUGACCGCUGACCGCAUGGUCUGGUGGUGGAAAGAUUUUAUCGGCUGGGGAUGGGCCCGCGGCCUAUCAGCUUGUUGGGGGGUAGUGGCCUACCAAGGCGACGACUGGUAGCCGGCCUGAGAGGGUGACCGGCCACACUGGGACUGAGACACGGCCCAGACUCCUACGGGAGGCAGCAGUGGGGAAUAUUGCGCAAUGGGCGAAAGCCUGACGCAGCGACGCCGCGUGGGGA